CCUACGGGUGGCAGCAGUGGGGAAUAUUGCACAAUGGGGGAAACCCUGAUGCAGCGACGCCGCGUGAGUGAAGAAGGAUCUCGGUAUGUAAAGCCCCAUCAGCAGGGAAGCAAAUGACGGUACCUGUGUCAGAAGCCGCGGCUAACUACGUGCCAGCAGCCGCGGUAAUGCGUAGGGGGCAAGCGUUAUCCGGAUUUACUGGGUGUAAGGGGGGCGUAGACGGCAGCACAAGGCUGGAGUGAAAUGCCGGGGCUUAACCCCGGAACGGCAUUGGAAACUGUGCGGCUAGAGUGCAGGAGAGGUAAGUGGAAUGCCUGGUGUAGCGGUGAAAUGCGUAGAUAUUAGGAGGAACACCAGUGGCGAAGGCGGCUUACUGGACUGUAACUGACGUUGAGGCACGAAAGCGUGGGGAGCGAACAGGAUUAGAUACCCGAGUAGUC
This 440-nucleotide ribosomal RNA is filed under the name uncultured bacterium. RNAcentral's name for it is "partial 16S ribosomal RNA". It matches the Rfam family "Bacterial small subunit ribosomal RNA", at positions 338 to 795 of the family's 1533-position model. The record is from RNAcentral.